RNAcentral lists this long non-coding RNA (1514 nucleotides) under Salmo salar (Atlantic salmon). Its description in RNAcentral is "lncRNA (ENSSSAG00000083089.1, ENSSSAG00000106117.1)". The record is from RNAcentral. Lineage: Eukaryota; Metazoa; Chordata; Actinopteri; Salmoniformes; Salmonidae.
GAGCAACAUUGCCAUGUUUAAAAUUUUGUUGGGCAGAAAUAAUAAUAACCUUAAAUAAUAAAAUGUGUAUUAUUUUACCCUCCACUAAAUGGUAUUUCUCAACCAAACAACAACUAGGCUAAACGAAACACCUACACCUGAACGUUUGUGGUGUGUGUCUGUGAGUCUGUGUGUGUGACUGUUGGACAUGCUCACUUAAUCAGAGUCACAGUUGUGACAGGGGUACAGGCUUGGUGGGCCCAUAAUUUGCAUUCCCAGCACUGCACGCAGACCUCAUUGGAAUUGUUAAAGUGCUCCAUGCACACGCGUUUUCCUCGUUGGAGGAAUCUGAAUCUUCUGGUUCAAUCUGCUUUGUUUUGUCUUUUUUCUUAGGCAGGACUGUUUUUUGUUGUUGUUCAGUGUGGUUUGUCUUGGCUUGCUUCUUUCCAGCUGUUGUUGUAGGCAGGACAAUUUUUAUUUUUGUCUUCUGAGUGCUUGACUCUUUAUGCUCUUCUUCCAGUGCCUGCGUGACGGGUGUAUCUGUCAAAAUCACAGUUUUUCUCCUCUUCCUAAUCCUUGUUGUAAUUUUCCUGAACCCUGCUUUUGGGAAGGGGCGUACAACUGGGUUGAAAUCAGAAGAGUAAUCAGGUGUUUCCCAGCCACAGCCUGAUACAUGUGGGGAGGUGCCCUGUGAAGUGACUGGAGAGGUGGCCUGGGAGGCAGCUGGAAAGGUGGCCUGGAAGCCAGUUGGAGAGGUGGCCUGGAAGGCAGUUGGAGAGGUGGCCUGGAAGGCAGUUGGAGAGGUGGCCUGAAUAGCUGUGGGCACAGUGGGCAUAAUGGCCUGAGAAGUGUCUGAAGAGGUAACCUGGGAGGCAGCUGGCAAGACCAGUGUGUCUGCUGGAGCAGGAGGAUCAGUGACAAGUGAGGGUGCAAUGUCACAUCCCUUAAAUAUAUCAGGAUUGUAUGGCCAAAUGCCAGCACACCUGAACCCAGCCUGUACAUUGGUGGGUGUUGUGGCACCUGUUUCGACAAGGCCUGGAAUGUCAUUUAUGGUCAGUUGGAGAGGUGGCCUGGAAGGCAGCUGAAAAAGUGGCCUGGGAGGCAGCUGGCGAGAUGGCCUGGAAGGCAGUUGGAGAGGUGGCCUGGAAGGCAGUUGGAGAGGUGGCCUGGAAGGAAGUUGGAGAGGUGGCCUGGAAGGCAGUUGGAGAGACGGCCUGGAAGGCAGUUGGAGCUGUGGCCUGGAAGGAAGUUGGAGAGGUGGCCUGGAAGGAAGUUGGAGAGGUGGCCUGGAUAGCUGUGGGCACAGUGGCCUGAGAAGUGUCUGAAGAGGUGACCUGGGAGGCAGCUGGAAAGACCAGUGUGUCAGCUGGAGCAGGGGUCAUGGUCUUUCCGGGCUUCAUCCUCAAACAGGCAUCACUGGCUGAGUUCACCAUUUUCUUCAAUGGCCCGUACACGCUCCUGUCCAGUAGCUUCUUUCUCUCUUUGCAGAAUCUGUACAGAGUGACAUGACAUGUGCAGUACAACUUUGAUCUGAU